Non-coding RNA from Pelobates cultripes (western spadefoot toad), 228 nucleotides. The record is from the annotation of a GenBank genome assembly. Lineage: Eukaryota; Metazoa; Chordata; Amphibia; Anura; Pelobatidae.
AACAACUUUUUCUACACAGAGCAGACUGUCAGUUUUUUAAAGGCACACCCUUCCAUCCAAUGUGUGUGUUAUUGUACACAAACAGCCUAAAAGUCUUUCCACUGAAGAAGGUCCCACCUGUUUCACACACAUACCUGUGGCUUCCUGCCUCAGUUUCUGGAUCUCCUGAUGCAGGCUCCGCAAGGUGUCUGCAUGUUCAUCUUGCAGGAACUGGAUCCUCCUCUCCAG